AGACUACGAAAGUAAAAUAAAAAGAGACGGAAGUCUGUGUCUCGCAUCUAUUUUUUAUUGCACCGUUUAAACUAAAUAAAAUAUAGACAACAACAUCAAAAUAUUUGGUAGGAAGACACGAUUUAUUCAACAGAAAUAUAGACAACAACAUUAAAGUAUUUGGUACAUGAAAUCACUAUCCAAUAAGUGACAGUUCGUUGGCCUUCUCAUUUUUUUAUAAAA
This 222-nucleotide unclassified non-coding RNA is filed under the name Hevea brasiliensis (rubber tree). The record is from RNAcentral. Lineage: Eukaryota; Viridiplantae; Streptophyta; Magnoliopsida; Malpighiales; Euphorbiaceae.